GUGGAGGUGUAUUCCUUUAGACUUCUUUUGUCUGGGGAGCUCCUUAUUUGGCCUUCUAUCUUAAUUGGCAGCCUUGCUGGGCAAAUUACCCUUGGUUGCAUGCCUCUGAAUAUUUCUUGCCAUUCUCUUCUGGCUUGAAGUGUUUCCAUUGAGAAGUCAGCUGGUUAUCUGUAUUAGGGCUCCCUUGAAUGUUACUUCCUGUUUCUCCCUUGCUGCCUUUAAGAUUCUCUCUUUGUCGUGAAAUUUUGUCAUUUUAAUUAUGAUGU
Long non-coding RNA from Phyllostomus discolor (pale spear-nosed bat), 266 nucleotides. RefSeq lists it as uncharacterized. The transcript is spliced from 3 exons. Lineage: Eukaryota; Metazoa; Chordata; Mammalia; Chiroptera; Phyllostomidae. The record is from RefSeq and is a predicted model, not a curated record.